UCCAGACUCCUACGGGAGGCAGCAGUGGGGAAUAUUGCACAAUGGGGGAAACCCUGAUGCAGCGACGCCGCGUGAGUGAAGAAGUAUUUCGGUAUGUAAAGCUCUAUCAGCAGGGAAGAAAAUGACGGUACCUGACUAAGAAGCCCCGGCUAACUACGUGCCAGCAGCCGCGGUAAUACGUAGGGGGCAAGCGUUAUCCGGAAUUACUGGGUGUAAAGGGAGCGUAGACGGCAAUGCAAGUCCGGAGUGGAAUGCGGCAGCUCAACUGCCGAACUGCUCUGGAAACUGUAUGGCUUGAGUGCAGGAGGGGUAAGCGGAAUUCCUGGUGUAGCGGUGAAAUGCGUAGAUAUCGGGAGGAACACCGGUGGCGAAGGCGGCUUACUGGACUGUAACUGACGUUGAGGCUCGAAAGCGUGGGGAGCAAACAGGAUUAGAUACCCGCGUAGA
This 447-nucleotide ribosomal RNA is filed under the name uncultured bacterium. Its description in RNAcentral is "bacterial SSU rRNA". It matches the Rfam family "Bacterial small subunit ribosomal RNA", at positions 330 to 794 of the family's 1533-position model. The record is from RNAcentral.